AGCAAUACUGAAAACAUAUUUCAUUUUGUUGUACAAUGUCUUGCAAGGAGAACUGAUUUCGAGGAGUUUUCUAACGCACUUUUGUAUUUCAAUGUAAAGAGGCAAGCAAAGGCGUAUCAUUUUCUUCCAUCGCAAGACACUAUAUUAUUGAGGGCGCACGUGAGAUAACACGAGCAUGGUGCCAUUUUGUGUACUGUGUGUAUUGUGUCUUGUCUCGGGCAUUAUUGCAUCCCAAGACUGCAAGUCAAGUGGCAAUGAAUGCCGAUUCGUGCUUUUUUGUCGUCGAAGCAGGAGAGUACCCAUGAGUGGCUGUGGGUUCCUAAAAACGUGUUGUAAGAAAAAGGAAAAGGGAAGUUGUGUUUCGAUGCUGGGGAAGUGCCAAAAUGCCUCACAUAAAUGUGCCGGACUGGUACAUCAAAAGAUGACAUGCCCACAUGGACAGUGGUGCUGUGUCCCCACUGUGCACUAGUGAAAAUAGUUACGCUAUUUUUCAUGGUGUCUCCCUGUAGACAGAUUGGUUCAUGAGCCAAUAAAGCAUUUAUUUUCAGUAAA
This is a long non-coding RNA of Rhipicephalus microplus (southern cattle tick), 552 nucleotides long. RefSeq lists it as uncharacterized. The record is from RefSeq and is a predicted model, not a curated record. Lineage: Eukaryota; Metazoa; Arthropoda; Arachnida; Ixodida; Ixodidae.